GAACAUAAUGAGCUCUAGCUUUCCCACAAUCAAAACGACCUCUCAAACUGAUCUCAUCCACUCUACAUCCAUACUUCGUCAUUACACGGUCAACUAAAUCACUAAAACUUGGAGGACCAUCAAAUAUUUCAAUUGACUCAUUCAUAUUCUCUAACUCCCCAUUUUGUUUCACAACACCACCAUGAAAAAAUCGAACUAAACGAUCCAUCUACAAAAUACAAACAUUUCACCAUGUCAUAUACACUACACAUUGCACAUAUUCGACAUAUCAACUACACACAUUACAUAUAUUGGACAAAUUGCAAACAAAAAAUACACAUAUACAUUGCACUAUACGAUUCAAUGAAUAUAUCCUUAAAUCAAUAAGUUCUACACGUCAAUAUCGCGGGCAGAGACUCAAUUGCGUAUGAACUACGUAUCAUCUAACACAAAACACCAUUGCAUUUCAUUGAAAUUUCAAAUCACUAACCUAACCCUAAGUCACCUAAACAUCCUCCGAUCUACCAAAUGCAACGGUAAAACACGAGAAUAAGUAGGGGAAUACCUUCCACACGAAGCAGGGAUCGAUUCCCACUACUUUCCCCCACCGAAAAUGCCGGAUUUUGGGUGGAUUUGGGGGUGGGGCGGCGGGGGGCGGCGCUGGAGCUUCGGGCUCGGGCGUUUCUGGAGGAGGAAGAAAGGAGGGAGGGAGG
RNAcentral lists this long non-coding RNA (692 nucleotides) under Setaria viridis. Its description in RNAcentral is "long non-coding RNA (SVIR_LNC001018)". Lineage: Eukaryota; Viridiplantae; Streptophyta; Magnoliopsida; Poales; Poaceae. The record is from RNAcentral.